Molecule: ribosomal RNA, 576 nt
Filed under: uncultured eukaryote
Lineage: Eukaryota
Description: SSU rRNA
Rfam family: Eukaryotic small subunit ribosomal RNA
Source: RNAcentral
UAUUUAUUAGAUAACAGACCAAUAUUCCUCGUGUCUAUUGUGGUGACUCAUAGUAACUGAUCGGAUCGCAUGGCCUUGUGCCGCGACUAACCAUUCAAGUUUCUGACCCAUCAGCUUUCGAUGGUAGUGUAUUGGACUACCAUGGCUUUCACGGGUAACGGAGGAUUAGGGUUCGAUUCCGGAGAGGGAGCCUGAGAAACGGCUACCACAUCUAAGGAAGGCAGCAGGCGCGUAAAUUACCCAAUCCUGACUCAGGGAGGUAGUGACAAGAAAUAACGGGUCGGGGCAUUCGCCUCGGGAUUGCAAUGAAUCGAAUUUACACCCCUUAAUGAGGAUCAAUUGGAGGGCAAGUCUGGUGCCAGCAGCCGCGGUAAUUCCAGCUCCAAUAGCGUAUAUUAAAGUUGUUGCAGUUAAAAAGCUCGUAGUUUGAUUUCUGGACGGGCGCCAACACCCGCUUGUUUAGUGUGGAGGCGGCGCCCGCCCAUCCUUCUGUUAACGCCACCGGCAUUCAUUUGCUGGCGGCGGGCUCAGAUAUUUUACCUUGAGAAAAUUAGAGUGUUUCAGGCAGGCUUGCGC